GUGGGGAAUAUUGGACAAUGGGGGCAACCCUGAUCCAGCAAUGCCGCGUGGGUGAUGAAGGCCUUCGGGUUGUAAAGCCCUUUUGGCAGGGACGAUGAUGACGGUACCUGCAGAAUAAGCCCCGGCUAACUUCGUGCCAGCAGCCGCGGUAAUACGAAGGGGGCUAGCGUUGUUCGGAAUUACUGGGCGUAAAGGGCGCGUAGGCGGCUUCGAUAGUCAGGCGUGAAAUCCCCAGGCUCAACUUGGGAAUUGCGCUUGAUACUGCGAGGCUUGAGUGAGGGAGAGGAUAGUGGAAUUCCCAGUGUAGAGGUGAAAUUCGUAGAUAUUGGGAAGAACACCAGUGGCGAAGGCGGCUAUCUGGACCUCAACUGACGCUGAGGCGCGAAAGCGUGGGGAGCAAACAGGAUUAGAAACCCUAGUAGUCC
Molecule: ribosomal RNA, 425 nt
Filed under: uncultured bacterium
Lineage: Bacteria
Description: bacterial SSU rRNA
Rfam family: Bacterial small subunit ribosomal RNA
Source: RNAcentral